RNAcentral lists this non-coding RNA (29 nucleotides) under Rattus norvegicus (Norway rat). Lineage: Eukaryota; Metazoa; Chordata; Mammalia; Rodentia; Muridae. The record is from RNAcentral.
UUAGAUUAAUGCUUCUGUGGACCUAGAUU